This 1146-nucleotide long non-coding RNA is filed under the name Anser brachyrhynchus (Pink-footed goose). RNAcentral's name for it is "lncRNA (ENSABRG00000003362.1)". Lineage: Eukaryota; Metazoa; Chordata; Aves; Anseriformes; Anatidae. The record is from RNAcentral.
AUGUUUAAAAGACACCGGUUCGUGGUGGUGUCCGUGGGGGAACAAGCCCUGGGGGGACCGACGCUCCCGCUGGCCUCCUGCGGACAGACCUCAGCACCUGCUGGAGCCUCAGGGAGGCUGGGACCUCACCUCGGGGUGAAGCUCUGGCUUCGGCUCCAAAGCUGGGGCAGCGACGAUGGCCGUAAUGCUGCGCCCGUGAGGGCUUCUUGUGCUCUGCCAACGGCCACAGGCUGGUCGGUAAAUCAGAGAGCGUGUCCCGGGGACCGAGACGGUUACAUGAAACUCCACAGGUUGCCAGCGAAAAGAACUUGGACCAGCUGCGUCCCUCGCCUCACCUGGGGAGUCCCCAGGGGGCUGCCCCGGGGGGAGCUGCCAGCCUGGUGGCCGCAGGCUCCGUGUCCCUGCACGCUCCUCGCAGGGCACACACGCCUUUUGGCACGGCGAGGUGGGAGAGGGCGUUACGGCGGAGCUGCCGUUUCCCCAGCCCCAGGCUGGGCUCCUCCGGUGUUCCCCAGCCCCUCCUCUUGCCCCGCUCCCUUUGCGGGACUUUCUACGUGGAAGCGUGGCAGUUCCAGGUGGAAUUACGGGGUUUUGUGCUUAAAUAGUGCCUGUUGUGCUGACACGGUGUGCGGGCAGGCCAGGCAGUGCCACGCCGCUGGUGUCCAGCGUUACCAGGCAGUUGGCCAAUUCCCCCAGUUCAUGGGAUUUGGUUUCUCUGUGGAAAAGGGAUGCCUGGGAAAACCCAGCUCCAUUUGGCAUGGGAAACGUGCUGGCUUACUGCCCUCCUGGCUCAUCCUACCCUUUACCAGUGCAGUGUUCACGUGGCCAUGGCGUGAACCAGAUGGGGAGCUGACCCGGGGCGAAGCUUCCAGCCCAGGGAGCUCCGGCCAGGAGCAACCACCGAGCCGGGCUGGGAGCAGGAGGCUGGGGCUGGCGGCGAGGGCUGGGGAUCGGUCCCCGCAGGGGUGCUGCUCGGGACGUAGCUCGCAUGUGUGUGCAGCUGUGAGCCGAGGAGAACAGGCAGCUGUCAGGAGGUGUGAUGUGCCUGGGCGUGGGGCAGCAUCCCCACCGGGCAGCGCCGGGGGGUCUGCAGGUCACCAACUGCACAGCUCGUGGGUCAGGAAUGAACGGUCCCGUGUUUCCUGA